RNAcentral lists this ribosomal RNA (697 nucleotides) under Salmonella enterica subsp. enterica serovar Typhimurium str. DT104. RNAcentral's name for it is "bacterial SSU rRNA". It matches the Rfam family "Bacterial small subunit ribosomal RNA", at positions 823 to 1520 of the family's 1533-position model. Lineage: Bacteria; Pseudomonadati; Pseudomonadota; Gammaproteobacteria; Enterobacterales; Enterobacteriaceae. The record is from RNAcentral.
GUUGUGCCCUUGAGGCGUGGCUUCCGGAGCUAACGCGUUAAGUAGACCGCCUGGGGAGUACGGCCGCAAGGUUAAAACUCAAAUGAAUUGACGGGGGCCCGCACAAGCGGUGGAGCAUGUGGUUUAAUUCGAUGCAACGCGAAGAACCUUACCUGGUCUUGACAUCCACAGAACUUUCCAGAGAUGGAUUGGUGCCUUCGGGAACUGUGAGACAGGUGCUGCAUGGCUGUCGUCAGCUCGUGUUGUGAAAUGUUGGGUUAAGUCCCGCAACGAGCGCAACCCUUAUCCUUUGUUGCCAGCGAUUAGGUCGGGAACUCAAAGGAGACUGCCAGUGAUAAACUGGAGGAAGGUGGGGAUGACGUCAAGUCAUCAUGGCCCUUACGACCAGGGCUACACACGUGCUACAAUGGCGCAUACAAAGAGAAGCGACCUCGCGAGAGCAAGCGGACCUCAUAAAGUGCGUCGUAGUCCGGAUUGGAGUCUGCAACUCGACUCCAUGAAGUCGGAAUCGCUAGUAAUCGUGGAUCAGAAUGCCACGGUGAAUACGUUCCCGGGCCUUGUACACACCGCCCGUCACACCAUGGGAGUGGGUUGCAAAAGAAGUAGGUAGCUUAACCUUCGGGAGGGCGCUUACCACUUUGUGAUUCAUGACUGGGGUGAAGUCGUAACAAGGUAACCGUAGGGGAACCUGCGGUUG